CCUACGGGUGGCAGCAGUGGGGAAUAUUGGAUAAUGGGGGCAACCCUGAUCCAGCCAUGCCGCGUGUGUGAAGAAGGCCCUCGGGUUGUAAAGCACUUUCAGUGAGGAAGAACGCCUGGUGGUUAAUACCCAUCAGGAAAGACAUCACUCACAGAAGAAGCACCGGCUAACUCCGUGCCAGCAGCCGCGGUAAUACGGAGGGUGCGAGCGUUAAUCGGAAUUACUGGGCGUAAAGCGCGCGUAGGUGGCUUGAUAAGCCGGUUGUGAAAGCCCCGGGCUCAACCUGGGAACGGCAUCCGGAACUGUCAAGCUAGAGUGCAGGAGAGGAAGGUAGAAUUCCCGGUGUAGCGGUGAAAUGCGUAGAGAUCGGGAGGAAUACCAGUGGCGAAGGCGGCCUUCUGGACUGACACUGACACUGAGGUGCGAAAGCGUGGGUAGCAAACAGGAUUAGAUACCCCAGUAGUC
This 465-nucleotide ribosomal RNA is filed under the name Vreelandella stevensii. RNAcentral describes it as "partial 16S ribosomal RNA". It matches the Rfam family "Bacterial small subunit ribosomal RNA", at positions 338 to 795 of the family's 1533-position model. Lineage: Bacteria; Pseudomonadati; Pseudomonadota; Gammaproteobacteria; Oceanospirillales; Halomonadaceae. The record is from RNAcentral.